CUCUCUCUCUCUCUCUCUCUCUCUCUAUAUAUAUAUAUAUAUAUAUAUAUAUAUAUAUAUAUAAAUAUAAAUAAAUAUAUAUAUAUAUAUAUAUAUAUAGAGAGAGAGAGAGAGAGAGAGGCAC
Molecule: microRNA precursor, 124 nt
Filed under: Marmota monax (woodchuck)
Lineage: Eukaryota; Metazoa; Chordata; Mammalia; Rodentia; Sciuridae
Source: RNAcentral